This 159-nucleotide ribosomal RNA is filed under the name Thelephora sp. R13. RNAcentral's name for it is "5.8S ribosomal RNA". It matches the Rfam family "5.8S ribosomal RNA". Rfam says of the family: 5.8S ribosomal RNA (5.8S rRNA) is a component of the large subunit of the eukaryotic ribosome. It is transcribed by RNA polymerase I as part of the 45S precursor that also contains 18S and 28S rRNA. Functionally, it is thought that 5.8S rRNA may be involved in ribosome translocation. The record is from RNAcentral. Lineage: Eukaryota; Fungi; Basidiomycota; Agaricomycetes; Thelephorales; Thelephoraceae.
CAACAAACAGCAACGGAUCUCUUGGCUCUCGCAUCGAUGAAGAACGCAGCGAAAUGCGAUAAGUAAUGUGAAUUGCAGAAUUCAGUGAAUCAUCGAAUCUUUGAACGCACCUUGCGCCCCUUGGCUAUUCCGACCCGCAUGCCUGUUUGAGUAUCUUGA